AAACUACCUCCAAUCUCAGACGAUCGCAAAAGAAAGCAGUCCGAGAUGAUGGAUCUGCCAUCGCCACCCGUCACACCUUAUGUCGAGAGCAAGAAGCAGCGAACAAACGAUGAUGAGCCGGUUGAUAGACAGGGUGGCACGGUCGGCAGCAGCAUCAAUAACCGGGAUCCUGUCCUCUUCCCUCGCUCAGACGAGAGUUCUACCGCCAUACCCAAUGAUGAGCCACUCUUCGCUUCAGACGAGGCCACAGUUGCAGAUAUCGACCAGCACAUCGCCGCCAGCUCAUAC
RNAcentral lists this small nucleolar RNA (288 nucleotides) under Trichophyton rubrum BMU01672. RNAcentral's name for it is "CD-box snoRNA". Lineage: Eukaryota; Fungi; Ascomycota; Eurotiomycetes; Onygenales; Arthrodermataceae. The record is from RNAcentral.